AUGUGCCUCUGACCCCGAGGGAAAAACGGCAAGCCAUGGGGCUCAGUGGCCCGAGCUGAUGGCCACUGAAUGCUGGCUCCUUUAUACAGGGUGUGUGUAUGGCCUUGAGGGGCUGAUGAGGAUUCAGAUGGGAACUGUGGGGUGUUGGAGAGGGGAGGGCAAAGAGGGCAGAAAGGCAGUUUCUGGGAAUAACAAGGAAGAGGUCUGCUCCUACCCAGCAUAAGGCCAGCUUCCCCCCUGUCUGAUGUGGUUAUCUGCUCCCACCUACCUCCUGAGUCUUUGGGUGCUCAAUCAUACUUUUGAGAAAUGUCCUCUUCAUUUGCCCACCCUAUCCCCAUCUAGUUUAUCCCCAACCAUGAGAUCCAGGGGUACAGUACAAAAUCCCAAACUUGAAUGCAUUGCCAGCUUUGUAAAACAUUCCUCUCCAUCUUUCUUAGGUGAACUCACCAACCAAAUUAAGAGGAACAGUGGGGCUUCCAAUACUGGUACCGCUUCAAACUACACAUUUCCAAAACCAGAAGAAAUCUUGUCUUUUGUAAAUAAUGGAUGGAGACCACAAAAGGCAUGGGGUGCAGGUAAAUGAUUAAAUGGAGUUUUAAUUACACAACACAGCUUAAUACAGUUGCUUUCAUUUAACAUAAUGCCAGCCUCAAAUCUAGAGGUCUAUUUUUAAAUCAGUGUACGUGGCCAUUUAUUUGUCUUGUGAGCUCAGACUUCUACAGACAUAUUAAUGUCUGUGUUCCAUACAGAACCAGACAGUUACUCAAAACAGGGGAGGGUGAAGAAAUAUUUUUUCUGAGGCAAUGCAAAACUGUACUUGGAAGCAACUUAUCAAAUAUGUUAAUAGCAUAGCAAUAAAAUAUUACUUUAUUAUUACA
RNAcentral lists this long non-coding RNA (878 nucleotides) under Athene cunicularia (burrowing owl). RNAcentral's name for it is "lncRNA (ENSACUG00000009694.1)". The record is from RNAcentral. Lineage: Eukaryota; Metazoa; Chordata; Aves; Strigiformes; Strigidae.